AACGAACGCUGGCGGCAUGCCUAACACAUGCAAGUCGAACGAGACCUUCGGGUCUAGUGGCGCACGGGUGCGUAACGCGUGGGAACCUGCCCUUAGGUUCGGCCUAACUCCAAGAAAGGGGUGCUAAUAACGGUUAAUCUCUUCGGACCAAGGGUUUAUAGCCGUUGUAUGGGCCCGCGUUUGCUUAGCUAGUUGGUAGGGUAAAAGCCUACCCAGGCGACGGUCCCUAGCUGAUCUGAGAGGAUGAUCAGCCACACUGGGACUGAGACACGGCCCAGACUCCUACGGGAGGCAGCAGUGGGGAAUAUUGGACAAGGGGGGAAAGCCUGAUCCAGCAAUGCCGCGUGAGUGAUGAAGGCCUUAGGGUUGUAUAUCGCUUGUAACCGGGAUGAUAAUGACAGUACCGGGUGAAUGAGCUCCGGCUAACUCCGUG
RNAcentral lists this ribosomal RNA (433 nucleotides) under uncultured bacterium. Its description in RNAcentral is "partial 16S ribosomal RNA". It matches the Rfam family "Bacterial small subunit ribosomal RNA", at positions 29 to 507 of the family's 1533-position model. The record is from RNAcentral.